RNAcentral lists this ribosomal RNA (566 nucleotides) under Streptomyces sp. 316A03. RNAcentral's name for it is "bacterial SSU rRNA". It matches the Rfam family "Bacterial small subunit ribosomal RNA", at positions 93 to 671 of the family's 1533-position model. The record is from RNAcentral. Lineage: Bacteria; Bacillati; Actinomycetota; Actinomycetes; Kitasatosporales; Streptomycetaceae.
UAGUGGCGAACGGGUGAGUAACACGUGGGCAAUCUGCCCUUCACUCUGGGACAAGCCCUGGAAACGGGGUCUAAUACCGGAUAACACUUUCACGGGCAUCUGUGAGGGUUAAAAGCUCCGGCGGUGAAGGAUGAGCCCGCGGCCUAUCAGCUUGUUGGUGAGGUAAUGGCUCACCAAGGCGACGACGGGUAGCCGGCCUGAGAGGGCGACCGGCCACACUGGGACUGAGACACGGCCCAGACUCCUACGGGAGGCAGCAGUGGGGAAUAUUGCACAAUGGGCGAAAGCCUGAUGCAGCGACGCCGCGUGAGGGAUGACGGCCUUCGGGUUGUAAACCUCUUUCAGCAGGGAAGAAGCGAAAGUGACGGUACCUGCAGAAGAAGCGCCGGCUAACUACGUGCCAGCAGCCGCGGUAAUACGUAGGGCGCAAGCGUUGUCCGGAAUUAUUGGGCGUAAAGAGCUCGUAGGCGGCUUGUCACGUCGAUUGUGAAAGCCCGAGGCUUAACCUCGGGUCUGCAGUCGAUACGGGNCUAGCUAGAGUGUGGUAGGGGNAGAUCGGAAUUNCU